This 95-nucleotide small RNA is filed under the name Halalkalibacter okhensis. RNAcentral's name for it is "Bacillus okhensis Guanidine-I sequence". It matches the Rfam family "Guanidine-I riboswitch aptamer". Rfam says of the family: This family represents a conserved RNA structure found upstream of the ykkC and yxkD genes in Bacillus subtilis and related genes in other bacteria. The function of this family is unclear although it has been suggested that it may function to switch on efflux pumps and detoxification systems in response to harmful environmental molecules. The record is from Rfam by way of RNAcentral. Lineage: Bacteria; Bacillati; Bacillota; Bacilli; Caryophanales; Bacillaceae.
CCAAAAGUUUUCUAGGGUUCCGCGUAGUCGUACGGUCUGGUCCGAGAGAAAGCGCAUAGUUACUAUGUACACGGAGGGAGAAAAGCCCGGGAGGU